Molecule: long non-coding RNA, 230 nt
Organism: Xenia sp. Carnegie-2017
Lineage: Eukaryota; Metazoa; Cnidaria; Anthozoa; Malacalcyonacea; Xeniidae
Exons: 2
Source: RefSeq, a predicted model, not a curated record
UAAUUUUAAAAAUCGUCAUAAACAAUUUGGUUUUAUGAAAGGAUACAAUACCAAGGUACGACAAUACAACAAAGAAAAAGGCAAUUCAGUCACGUGAUGUAAAUCUAACGGUAAACAACACUAUUUAACUGUUCAUCUACUUACGAGAUAACCAAUAUUGAUCGAGGAUUUAUAACUUUGAAGAAUUGAAAACAUUGCCAAAAAAAGAAAUGAGAAAGAAGAGACAAUCU